RNAcentral lists this ribosomal RNA (952 nucleotides) under Litchfieldia alkalitelluris. Its description in RNAcentral is "bacterial SSU rRNA". It matches the Rfam family "Bacterial small subunit ribosomal RNA", at positions 29 to 966 of the family's 1533-position model. Lineage: Bacteria; Bacillati; Bacillota; Bacilli; Caryophanales; Bacillaceae. The record is from RNAcentral.
AGGAAUGGCGGGGUGCUAUACAUGCAAGUCGAGCGGACUUGAUGGGAGCUUGCUCCCUGAUAGUCAGCGGCGGACGGGUGAGUAACACGUGGGCAACCUACCUUUAAGACUGGGAUAACUUCGGGAAACCGGAGCUAAUACCGGAUAACAUGUAAGACCACAUGGUCUUACAUUAAAAGAUGGCUUCGGCUAUCACUUAUAGAUGGGCCCGCGGCGCAUUAGCUAGUUGGUGAGGUAAUGGCUCACCAAGGCGACGAUGCGUAGCCGACCUGAGAGGGUGAUCGGCCACACUGGGACUGAGACACGGCCCAGACUCCUACGGGAGGCAGCAGUAGGGAAUCUUCCGCAAUGGACGAAAGUCUGACGGAGCAACGCCGCGUGAACGAUGAAGGCUUUCGGGUCGUAAAGUUCUGUUGUUAGGGAAGAACAAGUACCAGAGUAACUGCUGGUACCUUGACGGUACCUAACCAGAAAGCCACGGCUAACUACGUGCCAGCAGCCGCGGUAAUACGUAGGUGGCAAGCGUUAUCCGGAAUUAUUGGGCGUAAAGCGCUCGCAGGCGGUCUUUUAAGUCUGAUGUGAAAGCCCACGGCUCAACCGUGGAGGGUCAUUGGAAACUGGGAGACUUGAGUGCAGAAGAGGAGAGUGGAAUUCCACGUGUAGCGGUGAAAUGCGUAGAGAUGUGGAGGAACACCAGUGGCGAAGGCGACUCUCUGGUCUGUAACUGACGCUGAGGAGCGAAAGCGUGGGGAGCGAACAGGAUUAGAUACCCUGGUAGUCCACGCCGUAAACGAUGAGUGCUAAGUGUUAGAGGGUUUCCGCCCUUUAGUGCUGCAGCAAACGCAUUAAGCACUCCGCCUGGGGAGUACGGUCGCAAGACUGAAACUCAAAGGAAUUGACGGGGGCCCGCACAAGCGGUGGAGCAUGUGGUUUAAUUCGAAGCAACGCGAAG